RNAcentral lists this long non-coding RNA (738 nucleotides) under Mus caroli (Ryukyu mouse). RNAcentral's name for it is "lncRNA (MGP_CAROLIEiJ_G0013489.1)". Lineage: Eukaryota; Metazoa; Chordata; Mammalia; Rodentia; Muridae. The record is from RNAcentral.
UCACAGAUGCUGCUCGGGGCCAGCCCUAUACUCCCUCCAGUGCCUGGACUCCCGUGGACCCGCGGGGCUCUGCAGUUCUCAGACGGCCGCGCCUUGUGAGCGCUAAGCCGGGAGGAGGGCGCAGGCAGGGCGCACAGCUCUGAGCGCGCCCCUACCCGGCUCGGGCCCGCAGCAGCCCCGACUGUCCGAGAGCCUCUCCGCAAGCAAGGCUCUGCGCCGCCCUCUGAGCCCACCUCCUGGCCACAACGCCGCCUGCGCUUCUCCAGCCCAGGCCGGAAGCCCUACGCUGCCUCCUGAAGCCGGACUUUCUGGAAGCCCAUCUCCGUAUGCUCACCAGCCCACCCUCCUACGCUGGUCAGAGUGAGAUUGCUAACCUCAAGACCCCAUUCAAUGCCAGCUUUCAACUGCUGCUGAAGACCAAUGUAGGUCCUGGAUUAGAAGAACCGCAGAGUAUCCGGAGCUGGCCGACCCCAGACUGAUUCUCAACAGGUGGCUGGGUAGUGCCCCCCCCCCUGCUCUGUGUUGGUCGUGCCGGGACCCAUCGCACACAGAGAAGCCACCUUACCCCUCACCUCACCCCGUCGGCCCAAAGACUGACCACCCUCGCCCGAGUCGGGGGGUGGGGUGGGAAUCCCGGAUCACACACACACACACACACACACACACACACACACACACCAGGGUAGGGGAACAGGGAGGAUCUUACCUGCAGAAAGGUAAGAGAAGCCGGGAGCGUGU